GUAGAAUGCUUUCAUUGGCAUAAGAAGUGGAGAGUUGGGAAGGUAGAGGUCUAAAAGGAAUUUUAGAGCAACACCCUCUACAGUGUAAUUCAUGAAUCUUGUAAAAUGCUUAGUGUGCUUGGAAUCCUAGAAACUGAUAAAGAGGUGGAGCUUUGUAUAUUGAUUGACAUGGGGCUGAAAUCAUCAGCCUUUGUGGAUGAGGGCACUGCAGUCAACCGAGUUACACAAGCAAACCUGAGCAACUGGCACAUGAAAAAGGAUCCACCUGGGAAUAUAUUCUUUCGUGGGCCUGGUUUGAUGAGUAAACUGAAGUUCAGAAAGGUUCCCAUAUGGUCAGUGGAUGAAUCGGGAUUAACAGGACCAUAUAACAAUGCCAUCAUUCUUUAACAGUAUCACGUCAAUCAACAAGACCCUGGCAACCACCGUUCUACUGUCUGUCUCUAUGAAUUUGACUACUCUGGGGACUCCAUACUUGCAACUAUGAGAUGAAUAUGAUCACUGCAAAUCCCCUGGUGAGAAGAUCCCAACUCAGAGAUUACAUAACUUACCAAAAUCAUAAGGAUGGAACUCAUCUAAGAGCCGAUUCCCCUGUUACUGGUGCCAUUCCCAGAAGAAAACAGUGUAAAAACGAUGUGAAUCCAAGAAAGAAGGGAAAAUGGAAUUGGAAAGCUAAUGGGCUUUAAAAGCUUCCUCAUCUUCAUCUAUGAGCACCCUGAUGGGCAGCAUUACGCAUCUGGAAAAUGAAAAGUGCUCUCAGAGCACAAUUUUAAUAUUAUUAAGCUUCUCAUGGUGAAUUGAGGUUUCUUGUACACAGAAGUGCUGAAGAAAAGCUCAACCCUGCUAAGUACUAAUAGUGUAGAAACCAGGGGAUGGGCAGGGGGAGGGACAGCAACACUAAUUGGAAGCUGAUGCAGUGGUGAAAUAGAAAAGCAUUCCCCUUAGGGUUCAACAGCAAUAAUAAAGGAGGGAGAAGAGAUUUCUCAAGGUAGGUUGAGAUGGAUCCUCAACAAUGAUUUGACUAAUUCCAACUAAUAGGAGAAACUGUGCCAUUGUGAGCCAUUGUCAGUACAUUUUGUCAUUUGAGGUAAAUCAGGCCUCCUAAGACACUAGAAGCAAAAAUCCCUUUAUCAGUAGGUUAAAUCAUAUUUCAGUAUUUUUGAAGAAAGCAUAUUUACUUUCAUAAAAAACACUCCCAGUAAAUAUCCUUUAAUGCUGUAAGAUGAGACAUUUCUUAACCAGCUGAAGUGCUUUUGCAGUUUGACAGGCCAGGGCCCUGGGUGGAACGUGGCAGUCACAGGGGCCGACUGGCAUCAUGCCCUCUGCUGUUUCAUACCCACCCCAGGAGACUGUUUCAUGAUUCCCAGAGUGCCUUCUAGGUGUGGUCACCCCAAAUUCACUGUCCCUUCUUUAAACUACUAAUCCCAGAGCAGGAAGUCCUUUCUCUUGUUUCCCCAAAGCCCAAGGAAAUCAGUUUAAAGUUUUCACAAAGAAUUAUACUUAAAACAAGGUGAAAAAGGCAUAAUCAAGAAUGUAUAGUUUUAUGAGAGACCCUACUAUACAAGCCCAAGGCAAGCAUAAGCAGCUUAGAAUCUUCACUUGGAUUCCUGACUUCCUGACUAUUUC
Molecule: long non-coding RNA, 1623 nt
Organism: Manis javanica (Malayan pangolin)
Lineage: Eukaryota; Metazoa; Chordata; Mammalia; Pholidota; Manidae
Source: RefSeq, a predicted model, not a curated record